AGAGCGAACGCUGGCGGCAUGCUUAACACAUGCAAGUCGCACGGAGGGAUUUCGGUCUUUCAGUGGCGGACGGGUGAGGAACGCGUAGGUAUCUAUCUCUGGGUGGGGGAUAACAGCGGGAAACUGCUGCUAAUACCGCAUGAAACCUGAGGGUCAAAGGCGCGAGUCGCCUGGAGAGGAGCCUGCGUCCGAUUAGCUAGUUGGUGGGGUAAAGGCCUACCAAGGCGACGAUCGGUAGCUGGUCUGAGAGGAUGAUCAGCCACAUUGGGACUGAGACACGGCCCAAACUCCUACGGGAGGCAGCAGUGGGGAAUAUUGGACAAUGGGCGCAAGCCUGAUCCAGCAAUGCCGCGUGGGUGAAGAAGGUCUUCGGAUUGUAAAGCCCUUUCGGCGGGGACGAUGAUGACGGUACCCGCAGAAGAAGCCCCGGCUAACUUCGCGCCAGCAGCCGC
Molecule: ribosomal RNA, 452 nt
Filed under: uncultured bacterium
Lineage: Bacteria
Description: SSU rRNA
Rfam family: Bacterial small subunit ribosomal RNA
Source: RNAcentral